Molecule: ribosomal RNA, 520 nt
Filed under: uncultured Glomus
Lineage: Eukaryota; Fungi; Glomeromycota; Glomeromycetes; Glomerales; Glomeraceae
Description: SSU rRNA
Rfam family: Eukaryotic small subunit ribosomal RNA
Source: RNAcentral
AGCAGCCGCGGUAAUUCCAGCUCCAAUAGCGUAUAUUAAAGUUGUUGCAGUUAAAAAGCUCGUAGUUGAAUUUCGAGAUCGGUUUAUUGGUCGUGCUAUUGUACGUACUGGUAUUACUGGUUUCUCCUUUCUGACGAACCUUAAUGCCAUUAAUUUGGUGUUUUGGGAAAUCAGGACUGUUACUUUGAAAAAUUAGAGUGUUUAAAGCAGGCUCACGCUUGAAUACAUUAGCAUGGAAUAACGGAAUAGGACGUUUGAUUCUAUUUUGUUGGUUUCUAGGAUUGACGUAAUGAUUAAUAGGGAUAGUUGGGGGCAUUAGUAUUCAAUUGUCAGAGGUGAAAUUCUUGGAUUUAUUGAAGACUAACUACUGCGAAAGCAUUUGCCAAGGAUGUUUUCAUUAAUCAAGAACGAAAGUUAGGGGAUCGAAGACGAUCAGAUACCGUCGUAGUCUUAACCAUAAAUUAUGCCGACUAGGGAUCGGAUGAUGUUAAUUUUUAAUGACUCAUUCGGCGCCUUACGG